RNAcentral lists this ribosomal RNA (140 nucleotides) under uncultured Desulfuromonas sp. RNAcentral's name for it is "partial 16S ribosomal RNA". It matches the Rfam family "Bacterial small subunit ribosomal RNA", at positions 1244 to 1382 of the family's 1533-position model. Lineage: Bacteria; Pseudomonadati; Thermodesulfobacteriota; Desulfuromonadia; Desulfuromonadales; Desulfuromonadaceae. The record is from RNAcentral.
GGGCAGCAAAGCCGCGAGGUGGAGCCAAUCCCAGAAAAGCCGGUCUCAGUUCGGAUUGGAGUCUGCAACUCGACUCCAUGAAGUUGGAAUCGCUAGUAAUCGCGGAUCAGCAUGCCGCGGUGAAUACGUUCCCGGGCCUU